CGCGGGGUGGAGCAGUCUGGUAGCUCGUUGGGCUCAUAACCCAAAGGUCGCAGGUUCAAAUCCUGCCCCCGCUA
Molecule: transfer RNA, 74 nt
Filed under: bacterium
Lineage: Bacteria
Also listed under: 10 other names
Description: tRNA-Met
Rfam family: tRNA
About the family: Transfer RNA (tRNA) molecules are approximately 80 nucleotides in length. Their secondary structure includes four short double-helical elements and three loops (D, anti-codon, and T loops). Further hydrogen bonds mediate the characteristic L-shaped molecular structure. tRNAs have two regions of fundamental functional importance: the anti-codon, which is responsible for specific mRNA codon recognition, and the 3' end, to which the tRNAs corresponding amino acid is attached (by aminoacyl-tRNA synthetases). tRNAs cope with the degeneracy of the genetic code in two manners: having more than one tRNA (with a specific anti-codon) for a particular amino acid; and 'wobble' base-pairing, i.e. permitting non-standard base-pairing at the 3rd anti-codon position.
Source: RNAcentral